This is a long non-coding RNA of Bradysia coprophila, 159 nucleotides long. Lineage: Eukaryota; Metazoa; Arthropoda; Insecta; Diptera; Sciaridae. The record is from RefSeq and is a predicted model, not a curated record.
UGAGGUUAUGUCUCUAUGGAUGAAAUUUGACAAACCAAUAUCAGGCACUUUUUCAUCUCUGAAUAUAUCAGCAAUCGCUGUUUGAAAUUUAAAAAUUAAUUCAUUGCCAUAAUUCUAAGGUCCAUUAAUAUGAGAUUCGCCUUUUAUUUGCAAGAAAUU